RNAcentral lists this ribosomal RNA (468 nucleotides) under uncultured bacterium. Its description in RNAcentral is "partial 16S ribosomal RNA". It matches the Rfam family "Bacterial small subunit ribosomal RNA", at positions 28 to 507 of the family's 1533-position model. The record is from RNAcentral.
GACGAACGCUGGCGGCGUGCUUAACACAUGCAAGUCGAACGGAAAGGCCCUGCUUUUGUGGGGUGCUCGAGUGGCGAACGGGUGAGUAACACGUGAGUAACCUGCCCUUGACGUUGGGAUAACUUCAGGAAACUGGUGCUAAUACCGGAUAGGAGCUCCUGCUGCAUGGUGGGGGUUGGAAAGUUUCGGCGGUUGGGGAUGGACUCGCGGCUUAUCAGCUUGUUGGUUGGGUAGUGGCUUACCAAGGCUUUGACGGGUAGCCGGCCUGAGAGGGUGACCGGCCACAUUGGGACUGAGAUACGGCACAGACUCCUACGGGAGGCAGCAGUGGGGAAUAUUGCACAAUGGGCGGAAGCCUGAUGCAGCAACGCCGCGUGCGGGAUGACGGCCUUCGGGUUGUAAACCGCUUUCGCCUGUGACGAAGCGUGAGUGACGGUAAUGGGUAAAGAAGCACCGGCUAACUACGUG